Molecule: long non-coding RNA, 950 nt
Organism: Pelobates fuscus (common spadefoot toad)
Lineage: Eukaryota; Metazoa; Chordata; Amphibia; Anura; Pelobatidae
Exons: 5
Source: RefSeq, a predicted model, not a curated record
UCCUGAACAAUAAAAUUUCCCUACUCAGCUUCACAAAAUCAUUACUGAAUUAUUCACAAGGGAUAAACUACUGAACUCUAUUGAACUGAACUGCCUAUUAAUAAUUGUAUUUAAUUGUUAAAUUGGACCAGCUUUCCCUCCACCAGUAGAAACCAGUUCCUCUACGGCAGGUCCUGGACUAUCAUUGGCGGCAUCUUUGUCACUGGAUAGAGGUUGAUCUUCCACAAAUUGCUUGGAAAGGUGGCUAUGGAAAGGAUUAUUAGAUUGUUGGCGCAUAUUACAUGAAGGAGAGAAAGACUAUACCUAUCACUCGACCAUGUAUAAUAUGUACUCUCGGAUUGACAGGUUCUUGGCAGAGACAUAAAGCCAUGGAACAUCAUGCUGGAUGACAUGGGCCACAUCAAGAUUGGAAACUUCAGGUUGGCGUUGGAGAUGUACAGAAAGAACACAAGAGCAUAUGCUGGCACCAAAGGUUAUAUGGCUCCAGAGACCAAUCAUAUCUGAAAUUCUUUCAGCAGAUGGGAAGAAAUACAAGGAUGCUGUAGAUUGGUCGAACUAUGGUUUCAUCCUAUGUUAGAGGAUAAAGAAAACACUUCAGAAAGAUCCAACUGCUGCCCAAGCUACGCUUCAUGACACCGCAAACCAACCUGAGUGUCAGAGAAAUCAUGUCAAAAUCUCAUGUCAAAAAGAGACAACCAAGCUGGGCAGCCAAUCACUGCACAUAACCCGAUUCACAAAACAUGCUUUGUGAUGUGGAUUAGUGGAACUGAGGCUGACGACUAAACUGAUGAUCUCAUGAUUACAUAAAGGUUGCUAUACAGGACUUUAUGGGAUAUAGUCAGGCCUCAGGGACCAGAAUGAGAGGCUAUAGAUCGAUUAACUUCUUCCUGGUUAAAGAGUGAUUUGCCUCCUGCCAGUUCCACAUGAUGCAAGGUGUCUGAGCCUAAAGC